AAGCUCGAGCGCACCGAGCCAGCGGCCCCCUCUUCUCCCGCCGCGCGGGGCUGGAGGUGCAGGCGCCAGUUCCGCGGCGCGGCCCGGCUAUGUGUCGCUCCUCCGCGCGCCGCCCGCCGCCGCCCGUGCCCUCGGGCCGCCGCCGCCGCUGCCCCCCGUCGAGCCCGCGGCCGCACCCUCGGGCCGAUACUUGAGCCAGCAGAUGACCCAGGUGACAACGACAGAGAAGAGUGCCAGGAUGCUGGCCACCGACAGGCAGAUGGGCCCCACGGGCGAGGGCGAGGGCGACCCGGUGGCCGGUGCCUCGCCAGGGGGCGCCCCGCCUCCAGGGGGUCCCCCGCCGCCGUAGUGGUUGACGAAGAUGAGGCCGGUGAAGAGCAGCACCACCAUGGAGAGGAAGGAGAAGACCACGCACACGCAGCCGGCGGUGAGCGCCGCGCGCUUGCAGUUCUGGCAGCUGUCGUAGGCGCCCGGGGCGCGCAGGCCGGGGCGGGCGCGAGGCCCGGGGGCAGAGUCCUCGGCAGCCGGCGGUGGCGGCUGCGGUGGGGCUGGGGAGGGCGGCGGUGGCGGGGCCGGGGUGGGCGGCGGGGCAGCAGCGGGCGCGGGCCCGCGCGCGGGCAGCGGCGGGAGGCGGUCCUGGGGCAGUGGGUCGUGCGCUACGCGCAAAGCCAGCGGGAAGGCCUCCGCGAGCUUGGUGUUGUUGGGCAGGCCGUGCACGCGGCUGUCGGGCAGCGGCGUGCGGUGGCGGCACACCGGGCACGCGAUGGCGCCGGGCGGGCAGAGCCAGGGCGGCGGGCGCGGCGGGCGCUCAGGCGCAGAGGCAGCGGCGGCGGCGGUGGCGGCGCGGAGCUGCAGCUGGCUCAGGCACUCCUGGCAGAAGGUGUGCAAGCACGCCAGCAGCUUGGGCGCGCGCCGGUCCGCGUCGAAGUAGUUGUAGCAGAUUUUGCACUCGUAGUCCUCAAGCGGAGGGAGGCCGGAGACCGUCUCCGCUGCGUCCCUGGCUCCUGCGUCUCCGCAGUCCGGGGCUCCCUUUGCGGCGACCCCAGCUCCCUCCCGGCUUCCGGGGCUGCUGCUCGGGCUCUGCUGGCUGCCGCCGCUGUCGCUCGCCGGCGCUGCCAUGGCAUGAUCCGCCCCUCAUCGGGGGCAAGAUUCUCUGCAGAAGAGAGCAAGAUGCCCCCAGGGAAUGUUUGUGAAAAAGGAUGACUGGAUGGGAAGCAAGCUGAAGAAAAAGAAGGAAAGAAAGAGAGAAAUCAGUAAAUCACCACACAAGAGGUGGAGAGGAAGACUUAAAAAAAUUGUUUCUAUGACAUUUGAAAAUAAAUGUUUUACUCUGUGCUAAUAGUAAAUGUGACGUCUUCAGUUUGAAGGGCUUUAAGUGAAGCUCAUUAAAACCCACUAUUUUCCAUUUCCUAGUUUUUAAUUUUGUAAUUAUUACUUGGGGUAAUAACAUUCUUUCAAUUUUUUAAGCAUUUCACUUAGUGAUGGGGUGGUGAUC
RNAcentral lists this long non-coding RNA (1495 nucleotides) under Pongo abelii (Sumatran orangutan). RNAcentral describes it as "lncRNA (ENSPPYG00000034051.1)". The record is from RNAcentral. Lineage: Eukaryota; Metazoa; Chordata; Mammalia; Primates; Hominidae.